Molecule: long non-coding RNA, 1821 nt
Filed under: Homo sapiens (human)
Lineage: Eukaryota; Metazoa; Chordata; Mammalia; Primates; Hominidae
Description: HSALNT0380226
Source: RNAcentral
CAGGCUGGUCUCAAGCUCCUGACCUCAGGUGAUCCACCCGUCUCCACCUCCCAAAGUGCUGGGAUUACAGGCGUGAGCCUCCACGGCUGGCACAGAUAUGUUUCUUAAUAAACAUUUUCACUGCGAGAACUUCAGUGUAUCAAGGUAGAGGUAGAUUUUUAAUAUGCUGCAUAGACAAAUUCUGCAAAGGAAAAAUGGAAAGGGUGCCCAGGAGACAGGCAGCCACGUACCUGUGAUGCGUGUCAUGCACCUCUGCAUGGCAUCCAAUCGCGCCCCCUUCUCUGGCAGGACAGGAAGGAGCCUUUGCUUCGGGGCUGCGCAUCUAAAAUUGCCAGAGUAGGACAGCACAUAUUUGCAGGCUAACACAAGCAUUUCUGAAAGGAAAUGCAUUUGGAAACUGAGUGGUAUUGAAGCAUCUAUUUUUCUUGCUAGCAGCACAAUCUGCCACCAGGAAGGUUUUAAACACUUUCCUGACAGAGAGUGCCUGCCUGAAUUUUUUGGUAAUUAAUCAUGCAUAAUACUUUAAAUUCCACACAGGCGGCUGGCUGAAAACCCUCCAGGGAUUGCUGCAUUUGCUAUCCGAAAGUCAACUCCUAUGCCUUCGGAGAGUGAGGAAGAUCAGAGAGGGGCAUUUUUGCCUGUUUUAAUGUCGCCAUCAGUCACCAGGCAAGUCUGCAAUCUUUGCUGCAUCCUUCCAUGGUAUCGGCACAAGCAAGGCUAGUCUCACCCUGUUACCCAGACUGGAGUGAACUGGCACAAUCUCGGCUCACUGUCACCUCCACCUCCCAGGUUCAAGACAUUCUCCUGCCUCAGCCUCCUGAGUAGCUGGGAUUACAGAGGAGGAAAAUGAGCUGCAGAAGGAUCAAAUGACCUGCCUGAGGUGCCCUAUCUGUUGGCACAGGCCAGAGCACAUGGUGGAUGCAGGGGCACCCCCUUCCCUUCUCCUCCCCUCCGGCUCUUUGCUGACAGGAUUCUCUCUUGCCUUCUCUGAUGGUACCUGUGCUACGUGCCACAUCCUUUCCCUCAAUGAAUUUCAGGCAGUGGAAGGGGCCGCAGAAGUUCCUUGACUCAUGAGGCGAGGCAUUCAGCGGCCUCGUGACACCUCCCAGGAUCUGCAGUCAUUGGGCUGCACUUGCCAAUAGCAACACCUGGCAAAAAUAGCUAAGAAGCAGAGCGGCCUGGGCUCAGGAGCUGAGCAACCCCUGACUGGCCAGAUGGAGACUGUGUUGAGCUCUGCCCAAGCCCUGUGAUCCUGGAAAACAGUGAAGUUAAGGAGCCAUCUGCAUUCUAGGGAAUGGCCCACUGCAAAAAAUAGCCUUCCUUAUAGGACGUAGAGGACUCAUGAUGUCCCCUCAUUUAUGAUGAGCCAACACACAGCCCUUCCAAAUUCCGAUUCUUUGCUUCAUAACUGAUGAGCUGUUUUGUUCCCACUGGUCAAUCGGAACAACAUUCUUGCUAACCAGAUUUUGGUUCAGCUCUUCUCCCUCCCCAUGUACCUGCCCUGUGUCCUGUCCUCAUCCUGAGCCAGCACACACCCCUCCUUAGUAGCUCCUCCUGCAGCAGGCUGACCUCGGACUCUCCCUGAUCCAUUGUCCAAAUAUAUCACCCUUUCACCCUACAUCCUCACACCCCAUUCUUUCUAGUUUUGUUCAUUCCUCCCUGUGAAAGAUGAACCCUCUUUGCCUAACCCCGGACCUGCUUGCAGACUGCUAUGAUGGCCAGAGUGUCCCCCCUACUGCAAGAGUCCCUUCUGUCCCUUGCAACAUCUUUUAAAUAAAAUCUCUCUUUACCAAGCCUGGAUUUGUGUUUUAUUUAACUAGA